This 253-nucleotide ribosomal RNA is filed under the name uncultured bacterium. RNAcentral describes it as "partial 16S ribosomal RNA". It matches the Rfam family "Bacterial small subunit ribosomal RNA", at positions 57 to 305 of the family's 1533-position model. The record is from RNAcentral.
GCAAGUCGAGCGGUAACAUUUCUAGCUUGCUAGAAGAUGACGAGCGGCGGACGGGUGAGUAACGCGUAUAGAACCUACCUUUUACAGGAGAAUAGCCCAGAGAAAUUUGGAUUAAUGCUCCAUAGUAUUAUUGAAUGGCAUCAUUUAAUAAUUAAACAUUUAUGGGUAAAAGAUGGCUAUGCGUUCUAUUAGCUAGAUGGUAAGGUAACGGCUUACCAUGGCAACGAUAGAUAGGGGUCCUGAGAGGGAGAUC